GGGCGAGUAGUUCAGGGGUAUGAAUGCCUGGUUUGCAACCAGGAAGUCGAGGGUUCAAAUCCCUCCUCGUCCACCA
RNAcentral lists this transfer RNA (76 nucleotides) under Candidatus Bathyarchaeota archaeon. RNAcentral's name for it is "tRNA-Ala". It matches the Rfam family "tRNA". From Rfam's summary of the family: Transfer RNA (tRNA) molecules are approximately 80 nucleotides in length. Their secondary structure includes four short double-helical elements and three loops (D, anti-codon, and T loops). Further hydrogen bonds mediate the characteristic L-shaped molecular structure. tRNAs have two regions of fundamental functional importance: the anti-codon, which is responsible for specific mRNA codon recognition, and the 3' end, to which the tRNAs corresponding amino acid is attached (by aminoacyl-tRNA synthetases). tRNAs cope with the degeneracy of the genetic code in two manners: having more than one tRNA (with a specific anti-codon) for a particular amino acid; and 'wobble' base-pairing, i.e. permitting non-standard base-pairing at the 3rd anti-codon position. The record is from RNAcentral. Lineage: Archaea; Thermoproteati; Candidatus Bathyarchaeota.